UACGUAGGGGGCAAGCGUUGUCCGGAAUCAUUGGGCGUAAAGAGCGUGUAGGCGGCCAGAUAAGUCCGCUGUGAAAUCUCGAGGCUCAACUUCGAGCUGUCGGUGGAAACUGUCUGGCUAGAGUCCGGAAGAGGAGAAUGGAAUUCCUGGUGUAGCGGUGAAAUGCGCAGAUAUCAGGAGGAACACCAAUUGCGAAGGCAGCUCGCUGGGACGUGACUGACGCUGAGACGCGAAAGCGUGGGGAGCAAACAGG
RNAcentral lists this ribosomal RNA (253 nucleotides) under uncultured bacterium. RNAcentral's name for it is "partial 16S ribosomal RNA". It matches the Rfam family "Bacterial small subunit ribosomal RNA", at positions 524 to 776 of the family's 1533-position model. The record is from RNAcentral.